Long non-coding RNA from Bubalus bubalis (water buffalo), 2282 nucleotides. RefSeq lists it as uncharacterized. The transcript has 3 exons. NCBI's taxonomy places the organism in Eukaryota, Metazoa, Chordata, Mammalia, Artiodactyla, Bovidae. The record is from RefSeq and is a predicted model, not a curated record.
CUUCACCCCACUUUGGAUCUCUGGGAAUACCAGCGAACCUGACUUCUUUUUCCAGUUCUUUCCAGGACAGAGGUCUCAUUGACUUUAGGCAACAGAAAGAUUUCAGUUCAGAUCGGCAUGCAUCGAUUCCUAAUGAUAUUCAAGAAAGAAUCAUAAGCAUCAAACAAAUAAAGGAAAGACAACUCACCCCUGGUCCACCUGUGAGACAGAGUGGCCUGAGCAUCGGAAUACAGCAGCAGAAGCAGCAACGUCUUCCAACACAUCUUUUCCUCCAAAAAGGGAGACGUUGCCCUCGAACCCAAGGGGACCCCAGGAGCCACAGUGUACAUCCUUUUUAAAUCUGCAAAACUUGCCCAAAGGACCUGGCACAGACUGGAUGUUCUGAAAUUGCCCAUUGGCUAUUUGUUGAUUGAUGCUGAAGCUGAAGAAGCUUCCACUCCUCCCAUUGUCUUGCCAAGAGGACUUCCGUAAGCGAGGAGGUUGCUGAGGAGGGAAGAUGAAUAGGAACUGGCCUGGCCCCCGGGAAACCAGAACAGGAAUCAUGGUCUUGGCCUGCAGUCCUGGACUUUCUCAUCUGCAGAUGGGACUCAUCAAAUGAUCACCUACUAUCACUAGGAUGAGGAUUAGCUUUUGGACCUGGGCUGGGAACAAAUGAGUUUAUAACGCUUUUGAUUUUGUAAGAUGAUGAGCCAGGCCUUCCCUCCCACCACUUCGCCCAGCAGCAGGAGGUGAAUGUGCACAAUUUCUCCAGGAGCCUGACCGAAGUCUUGGGAAAUCCUUGCCUAAUGCACUGAUUUUUUUCUCUCUCCAUGCGUUUCUUGUUCUUGCUGCCAUUGCAUGCACACCGGUUAAGCCUGGCAAGUGAAUGCAAACACUGCUUUUUAUAACAACACAGUAAACCUACAACAGUGGAAUUUCCCAGAGCUAUCGAUUAUGUAUAAAAAACCUUUUUUUGAGGGGGAGGGAUGUUUUACUAAAAACAACAGUGUUCACGUGCAUUCUCACCUCUGAAUUCCCACUGCAUUUACCUGUGUGUCUCUCAUCAGCACCAUUUUCUAAUGUAGUGAUAUCUACUGUUUACUGAGUUCUGACCAUACACCUUAUUUUAUUUCAUUCAAUUUUCACAGUAAUUCUGUUGUUCAGUGGAUACUAUAAUAGAGUCCAUUUUACACAUGGAAAACUGCAGCUUAAAAAGGACAAAUCACACAAUAUCUGCAAGGCAGACACUUCCAUAUACUACCUACUAGGGUAGGGGCGGAGCAAAACAAACACCAUUAAAGCAGCUUCUGUAUGUUGGAAACAUGAUCAGUAGAUGGAGUACUGGGUGGGACCCACUAAUAGUGAUGGUUGUGUGUGUGUGUGUGUGUGUAAAUUCUGUUCAUUUUGAGGGCUUCUGACUCCAGCACAGAAGUGGCACAGUCUACCCACAUAUGGUUGUUAUGUACUCAUUCAUUUAUCUACUUUUAAAGCAUCUCCUCUAUGCCAGGCAAUAGAUAUAGCAAACCAAGUUAGACAUGGACCCUACCAUCAAGAAUCUUCAUUCUAGUGGGGGAAGUAGCUCCACAGAGAUUUAGAGCAUGUGAUGUUAGAUUUAAUGACAGAAGAGCCUAUGGUAGGAAAUGAGAGGGGAGGGGUGUCAAGGAAGGCUUCUUGGAGGGGUUGACACCUGAAUUAAGAUUUUAGGCAUGAGUUGGAUUUAAUUAGAUUGUGGGAGAGGGUAUGGUGAAGGAUGAGACAACCUGAAAAGUGGCACAAAGAGGGAGAGAUGAUGGGAUGUGUACAAAUAAAUAAAAGUGGCUUGGCCUUGUUGGAAGAUCGAGGAUGAGCAGGGGAAGCAGGUUGGUGGGAAGGAGAGCCCUGUGUGUUACACCUGGACUGUACCCUCCUGGGAGGGAAGCGUCAGGGAGGGCCACCUUCAGGGAAGUGGGAUGGUUUGCUUUCUAUGGGUGGAUUUGCCAGAGUAGAGAUCAGACAGGGAAGGAGCAGACGCAAGUUCUAGGGUGAGAUGGUGAGGGUCUGGAACAGGGCAGGAGCCAGUGGCAAAAGAGAGGAAGGUGCGGGUUUGAGAAAGAUUGUGGAGGUAACGGGCACUUCCCUGGUGGUCCAGUGGUUAAGACUUCAUGCUUCCAAUCCAGAGGAUGUGGGUUCAAUCCCUGAUUUGGGCUCUAAAACCCCACAUGCUGCACAGUGCAGCCCAAAAAUAGAAAAUAAAAACACACUUUAAAAAAAGAUUGAGGAGGUAAAAUCAGAAACACAUAUAAUUUCUCAGAGGAGAAGCAGAU